AACGCCGCGUGUGGGAAGAAGGCCUUCGGGUCGUAAACCACUGUCAGGAGGGAAGAAAAGCAGUCGCCAAACAGGAGGCUGUAUUGACGGUACCUCCAGAGGAAGCACCGGCCAACUCCGUGCCAGCACCGUCGGUGACUGAGCGGGCUGGCAAGGCGCAUA
RNAcentral lists this ribosomal RNA (162 nucleotides) under uncultured bacterium. RNAcentral describes it as "partial 16S ribosomal RNA". It matches the Rfam family "Bacterial small subunit ribosomal RNA", at positions 393 to 539 of the family's 1533-position model. The record is from RNAcentral.